This 462-nucleotide ribosomal RNA is filed under the name Vreelandella stevensii. Its description in RNAcentral is "partial 16S ribosomal RNA". It matches the Rfam family "Bacterial small subunit ribosomal RNA", at positions 338 to 792 of the family's 1533-position model. Lineage: Bacteria; Pseudomonadati; Pseudomonadota; Gammaproteobacteria; Oceanospirillales; Halomonadaceae. The record is from RNAcentral.
CCUACGGGAGGCAGCAGUGGGGAAUAUUGGACAAUGGGCGAAAGCCUGAUCCAGCCAUGCCGCGUGUGUGAAGAAGGCCUUCGGGUUGUAAAGCACUUUCAGUGGGGAAGAAAGCCUUGGGGCUAAUACCCUCGAGGAAGGACAUCACCCACAGAAGAAGCACCGGCUAACUCCGUGCCAGCAGCCGCGGUAAUACGGAGGGUGCGAGCGUUAAUCGGAAUUACUGGGCGUAAAGCGCGCGUAGGCGGUCUGAUAAGCCGGUUGUGAAAGCCCCGGGCUCAACCUGGGAACGGCAUCCGGAACUGUCAGGCUAGAGUGCAGGAGAGGAAGGUAGAAUUCCCGGUGUAGCGGUGAAAUGCGUAGAGAUCGGGAGGAAUACCAGUGGCGAAGGCGGCCUUCUGGACUGACACUGACGCUGAGGUGCGAAAGCGUGGGUAGCAAACAGGAUUAGAUACCUAGUUC